AACGACCCCCCCCCCCCCCCCCCCUCCCCCGCUUCUCGGGAUUUAUGGGGGCGACAAGUGUCCGCGAGGCCCUAAUGUUGUUAUUCUGUACGUCCGGGCUCGCGGUGGGCGGAGUUCCGUUGCCAUGACAAUGACGUCAAUGUUGGUGUCGAGUAACCAAAGGUCAAAAUAAAGACAAGUGAAUGAAAACGGAAGGAAACUUAACAAGCCGCCCAGAAUCGGACAGAACCCGGCCGAAUCGGGUCAAACUUCAGCCCGACACGCCGCGGCGGGUGUUGGCCUCGCGUUCUCCGGGGGAAAUCUUCGUUUGUGUCGCUGGUGCAAGGAAACAGAGGACAGCGGGAGAUGUCCCCUGAUGCCGGAGUCAUACCGGGGAUUCUUACGCACGGUUGCCAUGGAGCCACGGUGAUGGAAAAGCAACUGUGACAGAUCAUUCUGAAUGCACAUGGCAGUUUGAGGCUGUAAACAUCCCCGACUGGAAGCUGUCACUCAGAAGAGCUUUCAGUCUGAUGUUUACCACCUCCGACCGCCUCCUGCUCCACGGCGACGGAGGAGUCCGUGCACCCGUUUGACCCUCCGCCGCAGCAUCCAGGACUCUCGGAGUCCGCCUACCCGGCCGUUCCGGCUCAGUUGGUGUAAACAUCCUACACUCAGCUGUGAUCCUUUGCGGCAGAGGCUGAGAGAAGGUUGUUUACUUGAACUGGCUGGAAGUGACCCGCUGGCGUGAAGCGAGCCGAGCGAAGGGCGGCGGGGCCGAGGUCACGGGCCACAGGUUCAUCAAGUCGCUUCCCCCAAACAGCUUAGAGACAGCUGUUAAAACACCAGCCGCGUGUUUACAUACGAGUCAGGCAAAUUCACCCACAUGCUAAACCUUUAUUGACUUUAAGGUGACGCACUUUAAAAUAAUCCUUCUUCUCUGAAGGUCUGUAUCUGUUGUCGUGUGUCUGUUGUCGUGUGUCUGUUGUCGCUGUCAGCCGCUUAUAUUAAAUAAUGCUGCAUUCUCGUGAUGUGUAUUUGUUUUAUUUAACAUUGUUUUAAAGGUGUUUUUACCUCCUCAAUAUGUUUCUGAUAUAUUUUAAGCGUCUUCAUUUUGCCUGUUAUCAAAAUGUAAUUUAUAAAUGAGGGAGAGUUCAUUAGCUGUAAAGGUCAAAGGUCAGGCAGACAUCGCAGGGGUACCAGACCCAGUCCUCGAGGGCUACAGGGUGUGCAGCUCGUUUUAGGGCGGAAUGCGGCUCAGAUGGCGCCAUUCCGAGGGGAGAUAACGGCUUGUGAAGACCAGACUCCUCCGCUGAGGCGUGGAAGCAUCCGGGAGGCCUCCGUCUUCGUCGGGGCAACAGUGAACGCCAGCUGUGAGUGGGGACUGUUUUUCUUAAAAAUGUAAUAACUUCUUACGUGGCUCGUUUGGUUGAGCUGGUUCUACCUAUGUAAAUAUCCGAGGUUAGGGUUUGUUUAUGAAAAUUCAAAAGUCCUGCUCACGGGUGUUGUUCCGCACAUCGGCCACAAGGUGUCAGCAUCGCGCCGCUCCACGUCCCACCUUCCCUCGGUGGGACUGACUGGUGGGUCAUUGAACCGGAAAGGGCUCAUUUGGACAUAAUUGCAGGCCCGACAGAUGAGGAUAAAACUCCGUUGACACUCGGAUCUCAUUUCAAUAAAAAAUGUAACUGGUUUUCAGCAGUUUUGGUAAUUUAGCCCCUCCCCCACGUUAGAUCAGUCGAUCUGCCUUCGUGUGGCAGGUUUCGGUCAUGGCUGAAGGACCAAGCCGCUUCUGCCCGUAAUGUAAUCCCUCUAAUGAAAGUGUGAAUGAUGGUGAAAUUAUACCAUGGAGGAUGCAGUGGUAGCGACUGAUGGAGAUGUGGGCGGGGGUUAGCGAUAGCAGCAAUCAGUCACCUACAGCAGGGUGAAACGUGAUUAUGGCGGCGGUUCACAGGCUCUCUGCUUUGUAGCUAACAUCAUUUGUAUAAAUAUCAGAAGACAACUGAGGACACUGAAGACAGGAUCCUGCUACACCCCCGCUACCUCCUCCAGGCCUGCCAAACACUUUCCCACAGAACCCCAAAGCAAAUCCUGGAUCGGGCAUUAGCACGUGCAGCUAAUAGCAUUAUGAAACCAUUUGCUGUGCGCACCUGGGAAUAACUACCAGACAUUUGCAUUUGUAGCCCAAUUAGCCCACGAUGUCUGACGUCUUUACUGCGUUUCUGCUCUCCCAGCAGCUUCCAUCCAAACUCAGCCGUCCAGAUCAGUGUUUCCAUCCCCGUCCACCGUACGCAGAGUUAAACUGGCAUCACAAACGCAGACCUGUUUGAUUAGCAUUGAUGCUGCAGCGCUGCCACGUCCCAGGGCUCUUGGUCCCUGCUGCUGUCAAAAGUCAGGUGGGUUUAUACAGCGGGUUCUGUUACCUACACAUGAAAUAUUCAUAUUUCUC
This is a long non-coding RNA of Takifugu rubripes (torafugu), 2422 nucleotides long. The record is from Ensembl. NCBI's taxonomy places the organism in Eukaryota, Metazoa, Chordata, Actinopteri, Tetraodontiformes, Tetraodontidae.